AGGAAAAAAAAACCAAAGAAAAAAAAAGAAGAGAGAAUCGGCCAUGGAGGAGUAAUUUUUACUCCUUGAAAUUUCAUCCCAAAAAUUAUUUUCUCCUAGUAUUCCCACUAAUUCAAGGGUCCUCUAUAACAUGGUGGAGUUAUUUUGGAAGAUUGGAGGCUUGUUUCAUUGAUUUGGGAGUGAAGAAGUUAGAAGAAAAAAGAUUUUGGAGGAAACGGGAAUUGAAUUUGGACAACCGUAAAAGGUCGAUAAGAUGUAGAUAAUCGUUUUGAUGAGCCGCCAGCUUAAGACUUCCCUCUUGCUAUCUUGGAGAGUUCCGUUGUUCUAGAGCCCAGAUUUGGUAUAGAUCUUUUCUGAUCUAAAUAUAUGAAUAUGUUGACUAAGGGUAUGACAGGGCCCUGUCCCGUCAUAUUGUACUGUUGAAACUCUUAGAGGUCUGUCGACAUGUGUGUGGGUCAUAUUCAAACAUGAUCAAUUGGGUGUGUAAUAUCAGUAUGCGAAUACUAUUUUUUUUACAGUAGCCUCGUCGGCUUACGGAUAUUAUCAUGAUUGUGGUAGCAGCCUUGUUGGCUUGCAUUUAUAUGAAUAUUUAUGUGA
Molecule: long non-coding RNA, 597 nt
Organism: Solanum dulcamara
Lineage: Eukaryota; Viridiplantae; Streptophyta; Magnoliopsida; Solanales; Solanaceae
Exons: 3
Source: RefSeq, a predicted model, not a curated record